CAUGUUGAUGUAUUGAUAUACUGCAAAUUUUAUGAAGUGUAAGUGUCCUUUUUCAAAUUAGUUUUAGUUUAAUUUCAAUUGGAGGCAAGUGUUUCAUUGUAAAUCUCAAUAUAAAUUUUUUUAUUAUUUUGGAAAAAUUUAAUUGAAGUAUGUCGUGUUUUAUUUCUUCUAGCUUCAUUGGACGCCUUGUACCCCAUUCAGAAUGUGCUGCCAUCUUUUGUGGGUUAUAGGUCUACAAUCAUUAUGUCUCAAUUUUAAAAUUUAGCUAGAGAAAAUCCAGUAACAGACCAAUUUUAAUAGUACUUUUCUCUUUUCAAGAGUGUAAUUGAGAUGCUUGAAGUGAAAAUUAGAAUUUGUGUGCAAUUUCAACACUGUAUUGGAAGAGAUAUCAUUAUCCAAACAAAAUCUUUCCACGCCUCUUGAUUGUAUGAAAAAUCGUAAAUUUGAUAUUGUUUGUAUUGUGGUAUAUGCAGUUGGCAACUAUACACAUUUCCAGAUAUUGUUUUCAAGUUGAUGUUAACUGGCUCUAGUUUCUGGGAAAGUAUUAUUUUCUAUUUUUAAUCAUGUUGACAAGUGCUAACUGUGGAGUGCUGUUUCCUGAUUUCUCGGCCUUAAAAAAUAUCAAAAUUUUUCUUAACCAAGCAACCAUGCCAUUCUGGUUUUGUCUCUGGUAUGAGCCCACAGGAUUUGAUUGAAAUAUAGAAUAAGGAUUAUUUUUGACAUAGGCCCCACCAAUAGUUCCAAAUAAAUACAAAAUUAUGAAAUGUUGGGUUGAAGCUUCUUCAAUUAUCAAAGAUUGAAAGACGUUAUUUUGUGUGAAUGAUUGCAGGGUUUAGUGAUAGAGAUAAUCCAAGAUUCAAUAUCAGAAGAGGAUAAGAGGUUGAUCUAUCUUGGAGAUGGAAGUGGAGACUAUUGUCCAAGUUUGAGGUUGAAAGAGAAGGACUUUAUGAUGCCAAGGAAGAACUUUCCAUUGUGGGAUCUGAUAUGCAGAGAUCCUUCACUUCUUAUGGCUGAGAUUCAUGGUUGGAGUGAUGGAGAAGAACUUGGAGAUGGAAGUGGAGACUAUUCUCCCUUCAUUUCCUCUUAUUGCAAGCUUCAGACUCUGUCAAUCACUACUCAUGAGACUUUGCCCAAAGCUCUACCAAUUCGACCAUAGUUUCAUGGUUUUGUAACUUUUGCAAUGGACCAAAGUAGAAUAUAACAUGACUAACUUUUGUCUCAAUAGUAUAAUAAUAUAUAUUGCAUAGUCAGUUACCUCUGCCUUAAUUUCUGUAAUAUCCGAUGACAAUCUAGUUACAAUGAGAUAGGACCAUCCAGUUGUAAAAAUCACGUUUUAAUAAAAAUUGAAAGAU
Vigna angularis (adzuki bean) is the source of this 1352-nucleotide RNA transcript. It is a transcript of the gene named inorganic pyrophosphatase 1-like, with no coding region annotated. NCBI's taxonomy places the organism in Eukaryota, Viridiplantae, Streptophyta, Magnoliopsida, Fabales, Fabaceae. The transcript is spliced from 2 exons. The record is from RefSeq and is a predicted model, not a curated record.